Molecule: non-coding RNA, 821 nt
Filed under: Calappa bilineata
Lineage: Eukaryota; Metazoa; Arthropoda; Malacostraca; Decapoda; Calappidae
Source: RNAcentral
GAAAAGUUUGAUUCUUUCUUAAAAUCUCGUGCUUUUAUUAAGAUUAUAUGAAGAUUAAAGUGAGUAUGUGUGAAAAAGUUUAAAACUCUUUCCUUUUUCGUUUUAAAGACUUGUUAGUCUAUGUUUGUAAAUCUCAGUAUAUAAUAUUGGUAAAUAUAUGAAAGUAAGAGCCAGUAGUAAUUUAAGGCCUGAUAAAAAAUUGUGCCAGCAGUCGCGGUUAAACUUUAAGGUCAAGCGAGAUUAUGUUGGAAUUAGUUAGAUGAUAAGUCAAGAUUAAUUUUAUAGGAAUAAAAGGUGAAAUUAGUUUGUUCCAAAUAAAAAAUAAUUUACGACUCAAGUUGAAGCUAAAAAAUUUUAGACAAAAACUAGGAUUAGAUACCCUACUAUUCUAAAAUUUAAUUAUAAUAACCUGAUGAUUAAUAGAUAGUUUCUUAAAAUUUGAAGAAUUUGGCGGUAAUUUAGUCUUGUCAGAGGAACCUGUUCUUUAAUCGACAAACCACGUAGAAUUUCACUUGCUUUUAAAGUUUGUAUACCGUCAUUAUCAGAUAAUUUUUAGAGAAUAAAUUGUCGAUUUUUGAAUUAAAUUAAUAAAAAUUAGAUCAAGGUGCAGCUAAUAAGUAAGUUAGAAUGGGUUACAAUAAAUUUCAUUUAAUACGGAGUUAUACUUGAAAUAGUAUUAUAAAGGAGGAUUUGAUUGUAAUGUAGAUUUAAUAAGUCAUAAAGAUAUAAGCUCUAAAUUGUGUACAUAUCGCCCGUCGCUCUCGUUAUAAAAAUGAGAUAAGUCGUAACAAAGUAGAUUUACUGGAAAGUGAAUCUAGUAU